This 1792-nucleotide long non-coding RNA is filed under the name Anser cygnoides (Swan goose). RNAcentral's name for it is "lncRNA (ENSACDG00005015890.1)". Lineage: Eukaryota; Metazoa; Chordata; Aves; Anseriformes; Anatidae. The record is from RNAcentral.
AUGUCUAUAACCAGCCACGUGUUGGUGCUGCAUGAGCAGAUUGCAGAGUUUGUCGUCUCCUCCCGAAUGCAUGCGCUGGAGUUGAAGCUGCCGUGGCCAUGGGAGUGUUGUUCAUGUCAGAUCGACUGCUGUGGAUGGCUUCCCUUCUUCCAGGUAACAAGCUUCAAAACCCAGGCCAAGGUUUCAGAUUUGGCAAGAGCAAAUAGCUGUUUGGGUGCUCACAAUGAGGAUGGGGAGAGAGGAAAGAAGAAAAGGAGGGAUGCAAGUUGAAUAUUUGCCCGCAAGGGAAGCCAGCACUGGUCAUUUAAAUCAUCUAAUUUUCGGAAGUGUGAUGCUUUUUUUUUUUUUUCCAUAAAGGCCAAUCAAGUUCUUUGAGAUGUUUAUAAGUCUUUCUACUCUCCUCCCACCCCCCACACACCUCCUUUCCUAUUUUGUACUCUGUCUGCUUGCAGAAAUGGUGGUAUGGAUGUAAAAGCUCCAUGAUUCUUCCUUUUCACUGUUUUUCCAAACCUGGGGACACCAAGAAAUACCCUGGAAUAGGAGGAGAAAGAAUGGGAGACCAACAAGCAAGAAAACAGCAAAAGUUCAAAAGAAGAACUGUAAGGAAGGGGAAGAGUUGGGACAAAAAAAUGUUGGACGAUGAUAAAGACUGAUAGGUUAUGGAUGGUUCUUGAAGUUCAGAAAAAACUGAGGUUGUGAGGAGAGCAACAAAGAAAUGUAUUUGUUUGGCCUGGCCACACCUGUUUAACUGUGAGAAAAGAUUUCUGCCUCCCUGUGUAAACAGGGCAAAGAGAUCCUAUAACAGUUGUGUUGCUCACCAAUCCCAUGCUGCUCUCUCCUGCUGUUGUCCCCAGGUUUGAUCCAGUUAUAUCUCCUUUCUGCAGGUGCAGUUGGACCUUGCCUGAGAUCUGUAACUUACCCCCUUAAAUUUGCUGGUAUUUCUUUACGUAUCUGCUGAUAUCAAGGUUCACUGCUUGGGUCUGAUGCAAAGCAAAACCCCAAUGUACUGCUAUCCUUUGUACUGCUUCUAAAGAAAACAAAAAAUUUCUUGUUACUGACUUUCGAUGUUACCUUUAUUGUAUUGUAUGUCCUCAGAUUCUUUAAUUUCUUAUUCUAUUUAAAAACUGGCAUUCCCUAAUGUUAAGCCCUAUGUACAGAGGUUUAAACCUUGAAGAAUUACAAGCAUUUAUGACUUGCUUAUACUAUUCAAGAUAUUAAUUAUUCUUUCAAUAGUUUCACGACUCCUAGAAUAAUGUGAAUAUAUGUACAGCUCAGCUUUGGCACCUGCAGAAAGAACAAAAGUGGUGGAGAAAAGCAGAAUGCAUGCCUCGUAGAUUCUGACAUGAGGAAUAGGAAAUCUCCUGUAUGAUAAAUGUCACAGCAAAGUGUGACAGAGGAACGUAGAUACAAUAAGUAACAGCUUCCUGCAAACAGUUGGAGAGCUGAGAAUAACUGGUUUUGAUGUAUUUAUGAGCAGUGCAUAAGGUCUGGCUCUAAAUGUUGCCCUUGAACAGCUAUGUUUAAUAGCCAUUAGAGCAUACUCAAAUUAUAUAUAUAUAUAUAUAUAUAUAUAUAUUCUCCUAGGAGAAACACAGUAGCGUUUAACUGCAUGAAAAUACAUUUAACUAAAAUGAGGAAGUUUCUUAAAAGGAGAAAGGAAGAGCCUUAAAAGGAAAGGAAGAGCCAAAAGAGUAGAAUACUUACAGGAGGUGUGGAUAUUUUUUAAAGAGGUUCAAUGUAGCUUGUAACUGUCUAUCAACAAAUAAAACAAACAACUUUGAAAGGAAAGUCA